RNAcentral lists this unclassified non-coding RNA (381 nucleotides) under uncultured Pseudomonadota bacterium. Its description in RNAcentral is "uncultured proteobacterium contains 16S-23S intergenic spacer region". Lineage: Bacteria; Pseudomonadati; Pseudomonadota. The record is from RNAcentral.
UCCGAGUUGACCCCGGCAGUCUCCUACGAGUCCCCGGCAUUACCCGCUGGCAACAUAGGACAAGGGUUGCGCUCGUUGCGGGACUUAACCCAACAUCUCACGACACGAGCUGACGACAGCCAUGCAGCACCUGUGUUACGGUUCCCUUUCGGGCACUCCCCCAUCUCUGGGGGAUUCCGUACAUGUCAAGGGUAGGUAAGGUUUUUCGCGUUGCAUCGAAUUAAUCCACAUCAUCCACCGCUUGUGCGGGUCCCCGUCAAUUCCUUUGAGUUUUAAUCUUGCGACCGUACUCCCCAGGCGGAGUGCUUAACGCGUUAGCUACGACGCCUCCGGGGUCAAUACCAGAAACAUCUAGCACUCAUCGUUUACGGCGUGGACUAC